CUCACCCAGGUCUGUGGUUGCGGGCGCAAGCCCUAGUCCAUGGCAGACGAGGCCAAAGGGACCCACGUAAGCCUGCGCGUGCGCGCGGAGGCGAGCAUGGCUCGUCCUAGAGGUAAGCCGUACCGCCCGUCAGACUGAAGAGGCAUACCGCCUCGCGGGCGAGAGGGUCGGUAGUGACGGGUGCCGCGGCAUCCCGAGCGAGCGCCCCGGUACGCGAGUGUGGGGGCAAAGACCAGGUCAGCUGGGUGAG
RNAcentral lists this non-coding RNA (250 nucleotides) under unclassified sequences. RNAcentral's name for it is "raiA RNA". It matches the Rfam family "raiA RNA". The record is from Rfam by way of RNAcentral.